RNAcentral lists this ribosomal RNA (448 nucleotides) under uncultured bacterium. RNAcentral describes it as "bacterial SSU rRNA". It matches the Rfam family "Bacterial small subunit ribosomal RNA", at positions 64 to 507 of the family's 1533-position model. The record is from RNAcentral.
GAGCGGUAGAGAGAAGCUUGCUUCUCUUGAGAGCGGCGGACGGGUGAGUAAUGCCUAGGAAUCUGCCUGGUAGUGGGGGAUAACGUUCGGAAACGGACGCUAAUACCGCAUACGUCCUACGGGAGAAAGCAGGGGACCUUCGGGCCUUGCGCUAUCAGAUGAGCCUAGGUCGGAUUGGCUAGUUGGUGGGGUAAUGGCUCACCAAGGCGACGAUCCGUAACUGGUCUGAGAGGAUGAUCAGUCACACUGGAACUGAGACACGGUCCAGACUCCUACGGGAGGCAGCAGUGGGGAAUAUUGGACAAUGGGCGAAAGCCUGAUCCAGCCAUGCCGCGUGUGUGAAGAAGGUCUUCGGAUUGUAAAGCACUUUAAGUUGGGAGGAAGGGUUGUAGAUUAAUACUCUGCAAUUUUGACGUUACCGACAGAAUAAGCACCGGCUAACUCUGUG